AAGUAGAAAAAAAAAUGACAUUAUACAAAGAAACAUUAUAGAAAAAAAAAGAGAGCACUAAUAAAUUUAUCUCAGCCCUCCACUUAAAAGCCCAGAACUGUCAGAUUAACAUUUAAAAUAGCCAACUAUGCUUUUUUCACAAUUCUGAAAGUCUGAAAAAGUAAGAACUAAAACAGAAACAUAAAACAAGAUAAAUAGUAUCAAAAGGAAGCUAUAUUUGUGUCAGCAAAAAUAAAGUUUAAGCGAAAGAGAGAUUAGGAAUAUUGAGUGUCAUUGCAGAAUUUUUUAAUUUUUGAUUCUACAGGAAGAUACAGCAAUUUUGAAUUUAAAGUAAGUAGAAUUCUUAAUCUCUCCAAGCCUUUACUAUUUUUCGGAGAAGGUUAUCUGUGUUCUUAUGUGUCUUUGAAUAUGCUAUCCAUGGGACAACUGGAGCACCAUUCCAGCAUCAAAACUCCUGCUGUGAUCAGCUGAACUUUGGUUUCAAAGCAGUACAGUUGAAGUUUUCCUUAUCUGUUUCCCAGGCUCUUCUUUGAUAUUGUUCCCAAGAGUACACCCAGUAAAUAUGUUGCAUACAAAUCUAAGAUCAUCAGAGUCUGUUUCCAAAGGAAUGCUAUUGUAACAGAAACUGAUUGGGUCAAUUAGACUAUUCCAUUAUCUAAUAUGUGGUGUUCAUAAUAGGAUGUUUCU
Molecule: long non-coding RNA, 687 nt
Filed under: Marmota monax (woodchuck)
Lineage: Eukaryota; Metazoa; Chordata; Mammalia; Rodentia; Sciuridae
Source: RNAcentral